This 732-nucleotide long non-coding RNA is filed under the name Bos indicus x Bos taurus (hybrid cattle). Its description in RNAcentral is "lncRNA (ENSBIXG00000001857.1)". Lineage: Eukaryota; Metazoa; Chordata; Mammalia; Artiodactyla; Bovidae. The record is from RNAcentral.
UAAAUCAUCCAGAAAGCUCCAGCGGGAAGUUGUCCUCCCGGAUGAUGUCCAGUUUUUUUUCUUUUUCUUUUCAGAUUAUGCACAUGACCAAGAUAAAAUAUCUCUGUGGCUACCGUUUACAUAAAUUAUAUGGCUCUGAAAUGCCAAUUUCGUAUCCAGACCGGCAAAUCUUUCAGCCAAAGGAGCUUUUAUAAUUGUCUGAUGAAACCAAGGAGUCCUGCUCUCUGUGAUUCAGAACAGCUUCAAAAUGUAGGGGCCCAGGAAAACCUGUUAUUGGCCAGGCUUGGAUCAUAUGCUUACACCUGGGUUCAUCUCUGGAUGCAACGGGAGAAGUACUGUGUCUAAGGGAUGUGCUCUCAUCAGUGGUUAAGGAGGUGGCCUGUUCCAGAGCUUGGAACCUGUGUUUGUUCUCCCCCAAGCUCCCAUCCCUGCGGGCUUCUUCCCUGGGAAGGUGGCCUGGGACCAGGCCAAGGAUCUAUGGAAAAUUGCAGCUAAGCUUGCAUAAGUAAACCUUGGAAGAGGGGAGGCUAAGGAAUGCCCAGAAUGGAAGGAUGCUGUGGCCUGCCCUGAGCUUUCCAGCCUGCCGAGCUAUGAGCCUUCAAGAAGGUGCGACUUGAAGCAGCUUCUCUGUUUCCAAUUAUCCUUUUUAUCUCUGCUCUGGCCCCUCUUGUUACCUAAGUGUUUUCAUAGCUCUCAGCCAUUACUGUUUAGCUUUGGGAGGAUAAAUGUGAA